UGGACUGCAGCCCACCAGGCUCCUCUAUCCAUGGAAUUCUCCAGGCAAGAACAGUGGAGUGGGUUGCCAUUCCCUUCUCCAAAAGAAGACAUACUGCCUCUAAAAUUAGUAAAAUUAGAGAGACUAAUAUAGUUAGUAUCCGUAGUCUAAAGAAGACAAGAGUGAGGUUACAACUCGCGCUUCAGAAGAAACUGAGACCCUAAGGACACUAACUGACCAAUCCGUCAGGACACGGCAUCGCCUUUCUUCCGGGGUCCCGGGCCAGCGCUGGCCCCUUGAGACCACUGCCCGCCGUCAGCCCUUGGCCGGGCCUUUCAUCCACCAAGCUACCGGCAGCAGGGACACCAGGGCCUCUCGACCCCAAGGCCGGAGAACCGCGUUCCACUCCUCGGCGGCUGCCUCCCCGUCUUCCCUUCCGGUAGACAACCCCUGAACACUCCCCCAUUUCGCCGCUGAACCAGAACCGAGCCAUUCCCCAAGAGCUGAACCCACCGCUCCAGGAGUAGAAAUCCAAGCCGGACUGAGGGUCUUACCUUUAACAGAUUAGACGUCGCCAUGUUCCUUCAACUUAGACUCUCGCGAGACCGCGCGAGAUUUCGUGGCGCUCCGUGCCAGGCCACUACUGCAGGCCCGAGUUUCCCACCUGGGCCGAGGGGGCCCCGGGCCCGCACUGUGAAUAAGGUGGGCUCCGGCGUGCACACAGCGCUGACCUCGUCCCUCACUCCCGGAGCUUCCUCGCUCUUCUCUCCCUACAUGGUCACCGGGGCCUCCCCGUACGAGAGAGCUCAUGCAAACACUCAGGGAGACGGCAGCGGCGAAAGGUGAGAGGGAACAGGAGCCGACCCGAAAUCGGAAGAGGAAGCAUCGGCUUCACGAGCCUCCCCACUCCUUCAGAUGAGCCCCUGUGGUGGCACCCGCAGAGGCCACUGGCAACGAAUUUAGCUCGGUUUGGGACCGGCCGCUCUGGUUCGGCGGCCGCGUCACGUGACGCGGCGGGCGGGGCCGCGCUCGGGAGCUAGCGUGGGAGCCUGAAAGCGUCGUGGGCAGAGAUCUCGCAGCGAGGACGGGGGGGGGACGCCCUCUGCUGGCAGGAGUAUGUGUCUUCCGCCGCCGAGUGCUGGGGGGAGGUUACGAAAAAGACAUUAUCCGGAGUGAAAUGCUUGUAAUAGCUGUCUUCGAGAACUGGCGCAUAGAAGGGACCCAAGAAAUAUUUGUGUGCAUGAAUCAAUGAAUCCACGCACGAACGUGUUAACUAUUAAUAUUUCUACUCAAGAGGGCCUGGCACUGAAAUAACCUCUAAGAGGUUGAUCAGGUAUACCAGAACAUCCUAUACCGUAAGACCCCUAAGCUUUAUCCCUUCAGACCUCAAACCACUGGCCAAAUAAAGGGAAAGUAAUUUAUAUGUAG
Bubalus bubalis (water buffalo) is the source of this 1407-nucleotide long non-coding RNA. RefSeq lists it as uncharacterized. The transcript is spliced from 2 exons. The record is from RefSeq and is a predicted model, not a curated record. Lineage: Eukaryota; Metazoa; Chordata; Mammalia; Artiodactyla; Bovidae.